Molecule: ribosomal RNA, 468 nt
Filed under: uncultured bacterium
Lineage: Bacteria
Description: partial 16S ribosomal RNA
Rfam family: Bacterial small subunit ribosomal RNA
Source: RNAcentral
GACGAACGCUGGCGGCGUGCUUAACACAUGCAAGUCGAACGGAAAGGCCCUGCUUUUGUGGGGUGCUCGAGUGGCGAACGGGUGAGUAACACGUGAGUAACCUGCCCUUGACUUUGGGAUAACUUCAGGAAACUGGGGCUAAUACCGGAUAGGAGCUCCUGCUGCAUGGUGGGGGUUGGAAAGUUUCGGCGGUGGGGGAUGGACUCGCGGCUUAUCAGCUUGUUGGUGGGGUAGUGGCUUACCAAGGCGUUGACGGGUAGCCGGCCUGAGAGGGUGACCGGCACCCGUGGGACUGUGCUACGGCCCAGACUCCUACGGGAGGCAGCAGUGGGGAAUAUUGCACAAUGGGCGGAAGCCUGAUGCAGCAACGCCGCGUGCGGGAUGACGGCCUUCGGGUUGUAAACCGCUUUCGCCUGUGACGAAGCGUGAGUGACGGUAAUGGGUAAAGAAGCACCGGCUAACUACGUG